GAUGAAGAACGCAGCGAAAUGCGAUAAGUAGUGUGAAUUGCAGAAUUCAGUGAAUCAUCGAAUCUUUGAACGCACAUUGCGCCCUUUGGUAUUCCAAAGGGCAUGCCUGUUCGAGCGUCAUUUGUACCCUCAAGCUUUGCUUGGUGUUGGGCGUCUUGUCUCUAGCUUUGCUGGAGACUCGCCUUAAAGUAAUUGGCAGCCGGCCUACUGGUUUCGGAGCGCAGCACAAGUCGCACUCUCUAUCAGCAAAGGUCUAGCAUACAUUAAGCCUUUUUUUCAACUUUUGACCUCGGAUCAGGUAGGGAUACCCGCUGAACUUAAGCAUAUCAAUAAGCGGAGGA
Molecule: unclassified non-coding RNA, 341 nt
Filed under: soil metagenome
Description: partial contains 5.8S ribosomal RNA, internal transcribed spacer 2, and large subunit ribosomal RNA
Rfam family: 5.8S ribosomal RNA (bases 1-120)
Source: RNAcentral